UUUUCGGAGAGUUUGAUCCUGGCUCAGGACGAACGCUGGCGGCGUGCCUAAUACAUGCAAGUCGAGCGGACAGAAGGGAGCUUGCUCCCGGAUGUUAGCGGCGGACGGGUGAGUAACACGUGGG
RNAcentral lists this ribosomal RNA (124 nucleotides) under Bacillus stratosphericus. RNAcentral describes it as "partial 16S ribosomal RNA". It matches the Rfam family "Bacterial small subunit ribosomal RNA", at positions 1 to 121 of the family's 1533-position model. Lineage: Bacteria; Bacillati; Bacillota; Bacilli; Caryophanales; Bacillaceae. The record is from RNAcentral. RNAcentral also lists the same sequence under 5 other names.